CCUACUUUCUUCCUCCUUUUUUUCUCUUUCCCCCUUUUGUCCCCCCUGCUGCCGCGACGCCGCGUGGGUGAAGAAGCGCCUCGGCGCGUAAAGCCCUGUCAGCAGGGAAGAAAAUGACGGUACCUGAAGAAGCAGCCCCGGCUAACUACGUGCCAGCAGCCGCGGUAAUACGUAGGGGGCAAGCGUUUUCCGGCUUUACUGGGUGUAACGGGGGCGCAGACGGCGAUGCAAGCCAGGAGUGAAAGCCCGGGGCCCAACCCCGGGACUGCUCUUGGAGCUGCGUGGCUAGAGUGCAGGAGGGGCAGGCGGAAUGCCUGGUGUAGCGGUGAAAUGCGUAGAUAUCAGGAGGAACACCGGUGGCGAAGGCGGCCUGCUGGACUGCAACUGACGUUGAGGCCCGAAAGCGUGGGGAGCAAACAGGAUUAGAUACCCUUGUAGUC
RNAcentral lists this ribosomal RNA (440 nucleotides) under uncultured bacterium. Its description in RNAcentral is "partial 16S ribosomal RNA". It matches the Rfam family "Bacterial small subunit ribosomal RNA", at positions 377 to 795 of the family's 1533-position model. The record is from RNAcentral.